Molecule: long non-coding RNA, 1277 nt
Organism: Cydia pomonella (codling moth)
Lineage: Eukaryota; Metazoa; Arthropoda; Insecta; Lepidoptera; Tortricidae
Exons: 2
Source: RefSeq, a predicted model, not a curated record
AUGGGCUCGCCUCAGCAUAAUGCUGACCUGGUCAGCGCUGAUCUUCCGGCGAGACCAUUUGUGUUGUGGGCCACGAUUGCACCUGUACGGCACGGCCUCGUAAAACUGAACGCAUACACUAGCGACAGCUACUAGCGCCAACUACGUGUAUGACAGAUGACAGAAAUGACAAUGUCAGAUAAUCUAAAACGCCAUGCCGUACAAGGUAUUAAUAAAUAACAAUGGAAAAAUGAAUAAAUAACAAUGGAACAAUUACAUCAGUUUAAGUGCAAAACACAUUAAAUUACCGUGAAAACAUUACAAAUAUUUUGAAAGAUACAUACAACAUAAAUAAACAGGACUAAAUAAGUGGCUAACGUUUACAUAGUUACAGUUUACUUUGCCAAGUGAGGUGCAGGAAAUUCAGAUCAAGAAGUAUAUUACAUACAAGAUAACGCGCGCAAUUGUGAUGCAAGACAACUGAAAGAAAAGAAAACGACAAAAAGAAAAGACUACAUGUACUGACGCAUUGGGUGGUAAAGAGGAGAGAAAAUACAGGUCUAUGUUGCCCUGUGGUCUGUGACGGAUUAAUUCGUCUUCGGCGUUGGAUCUACGGUGCGGAUAUAUCCAUCAUUGGCGUCACAAAGGUUAAAGGUCGGACGUACCGAUAGUCGGUGUACGUUUAUUAAUAAGGUUCAGUGUGACCAUUUAGACAUGUAACCAUCGAAAUGAUAUAAUUUCUAUGGUUACUCAACUAAUAUGAACUAUAAAUUACCUCGAAGUUUUGUGCAUUUCGUAGUAAAUAACGAAUUUAUUAUGUUGUCUCUUGAACAGAGGCCUCGAAGCGGAAGAUCUCUAGGAACAAGUGACCCUGGGGCCAUCACAAAGAUUGCUAAUAGAAUUUGCGAAAACGAAGCAUACCUGUCAUAAUUAUCGUAAAAGUGCAACAAACGACGAUUAAAGUCACUUCAGUUCUUCGUACUUAAUUCUAGGCCAAGUCGAAAAUCAUACAAUUUCCUUCGUACAAAAAUCGCAUUUGGCAGUUGACAUAGAAUAGACUAAGAGCUCCAAACGUCCUGCAGUGCCUUUCUCUCAACUAUUAUUGGGCUCAAAUCAAAAUUGUAUUAAAAGAGAAGAAUGAAAAAGCCAAAGAACAUUAACAAUUCCAGCAGCUGACGAGCUGAUGCAGGCAAAAACGGGUCCGUAAAAGCUGCCACUGAAUGCGCUAGGAAGUAGCUGCCUAUCACUCCCACAGAAAAAAGAAUAAAUAAAUAAACUGACAAAAAUCUAAAUUAAAA